Non-coding RNA from Vigna umbellata (rice bean), 873 nucleotides. NCBI's taxonomy places the organism in Eukaryota, Viridiplantae, Streptophyta, Magnoliopsida, Fabales, Fabaceae. The record is from RefSeq and is a predicted model, not a curated record.
GUCCAAAGUUUUGAAGAGGGACUAAUUCCCAUUUUCUCUUAAAGUUAAGGGACCAAAAACAUAUUUAACCUUUUUUUUUUUAACAAUCUAUGCUUUUUACACCCUCUUUAGUACCCAUAACUCCAACUGAUGGUUUGGUCUCUCUCAAGUUCUAGUUGAAAUACUCAAAUUUUUAGGUUUGGAAUAUAGAGUUCUUUGAAGUAUUAGCCAUUCUAUAUUUUUUUGCCGGUUUACUUGGCGUUUAUUGUACUAGUAAAACUUAAAAGUCGUAUAUUUGGGUUUUUUGUUCAAUAUGUUGGAUAUUGUUAAUAGCAGUAGUAUUGUAUUAUUCUAGAAUCCUCUUAAGAAUUAUUUGGAUAAGUAAAUGCAUUUAAUUAUAUGAAAAUGUUGUAGGAAGAUCUCCAAUGGGGUUGCAGUGGGGGCUGUAAAAUUUCUACUUUUGAUUCCUUAAUUAGUACUCAAAAUUCGUUUGUUAACAAUUUUCUUCUAGUUAUUAUGAUGAGAAUUAAUAAUUUCAGUAGCUUCUGUGGUCUUUAGUCUUACUGAUGACAUGGUUUUCAAUGCAUUUAGGUCUUCACAACUCACCAUUGGAUGGUUCGGAUAUACAAGUUGAAACCACCAAAGAACAGGAUAAGAGGAAAGACUAAGAAGUCGAAAUCGAAAACAAGCUCAAAAACUGCCUCGAAAAGAAAAGGACUAAAGAGGAAUCCCUUUUAGUUUAGAUUUUUCAUUUCCUUGGGUAGGGGUAAGCUUAUUAGUGUGCGUUUCAUGUAUACAUGUAGACAACUAAUGCAAUUGCCAUGAAAGAGAUUUUGCCGGCAUGGUUGGUUACUCUCGAGUAUCGAAUGAUCAAAUGAAAAUUUUGGAAUUCCA